CCAACUGGGCAGAGGGAUCCUCCUCCCAUCAGCACUGGUUGUGAGAGAGGGUUCCUGCUUUGUUUGGGCUCAAGAUAGUUUUGGCUGGAGCUGGACAUUCAGACUACCUAUGUGAAGUGCAUCCUGUCUUUGGUGCCAGCUAGAUCCAUUCUGGAGAUGGAGCUUCAUGACAAAGGCUUGUGGCUCAGGGCUAGCUCUGGCACUGACACUUCAUGUCCUCACUUCUGUCUGCAGCUCGGAGGACAUCAAAUAGACCAUUUUCAAUAGGAAGAGAGCUGAGAUGGAGCACUACUGUCCCCCUGCCAAAGUGUGCAACUUCUCAGUGUUGUGUAAUGUGGGCAGAACUUGAUUUAAAUGAGUUAAAUAGUCAGGAUUUUCCCUGAUCCCACUUGUCCAA
Molecule: long non-coding RNA, 397 nt
Organism: Pogoniulus pusillus (Red-fronted tinkerbird)
Lineage: Eukaryota; Metazoa; Chordata; Aves; Piciformes; Lybiidae
Exons: 3
Source: RefSeq, a predicted model, not a curated record